Long non-coding RNA from Centruroides sculpturatus (bark scorpion), 1469 nucleotides. RefSeq lists it as uncharacterized. The transcript has 3 exons. NCBI's taxonomy places the organism in Eukaryota, Metazoa, Arthropoda, Arachnida, Scorpiones, Buthidae. The record is from RefSeq and is a predicted model, not a curated record.
GAAAGCAAUAGAAUAAAAAAAAAAAUAAAAUAAAAUAUUACAUUAUAUAAUAUUUUCAGAUCUACAAAAAAAGCAUUCGUAAGUAGCAAAUUCAGAUUCCAUCAGCGACGGUAAAAUACAUUUUAGGCUAAUAGGUAAAUUCUGAACGGUAACGUGACAUAUUAAAAUGUUAAGAUCAAUAACGUGAUUUCCACGCGGUUUCCCGGCUAACUUGCACGCGCUACUGCGUGAUACAUUUUAAAAUCGCAAGCGAUCACGUGCCGAAGAUUGUUUUGACAUUUAAUACUCGGCUGAAUUUAUUUUAAAAUAUAGAGCACCGUUCACGUGACAGAAUACGAAUUUGCUCGAACAAUAUUUUAAAUAAUUUAAAUUAUUCGCUGUAAUAUUUUAAUAUAAUAAUUUUCGAUAAAUAUUUCUAUACGAAAAAUAUAUAAUUUAAAUUUGCACUAGAAGGGGAAUUUUAAUUAAAUGUUUUCUCUUUUUUUUCCAGUUUGUUCCAUUUUUAUCAUUUUUCUAUUUUCUUUCCAUAACGAGGAAAAAGAAGAGAUGAAUGAGGUCAUCCUAUGUCAUAUGAAUGCUAAUGGAAACGCUUCGUCUAAUAUUACGUCAUGUACUACGUCUACUUCGAGUCGAAGACAAAACGUCGAUUUUCCGCAAAUUUAAACGAUUAAUCAACCGAAUACCUUAAUUUAUUGAUUUAAUAUUCCAUCUCUCGUUCUGUCGUCUUUAUUUAUAAAUAAUAUAACGCUUUCAUUCCUCAGAAUCGAUUUUUAUAUUAACUUAUUUGAAUAUUUAAAAUUUCACUAGCGUUUACACGUACGAUUUGUGGAAUGUUAAAUUCCUUCAUAACGCUAAAUGUAGCAAUUUAGCAUUUAAAUUACUAGCGCGUAUACUAUUAAAAUUGUUUGAUGAGGAAGCUGCAGCAAUUUCAUCAAUUAAUAUCUCCUCUGAUUUUUUUUUCUUUUUUUGAACAAGAAAGACAUUUAACAAGGAAAAGAUAGAAGUCUGUGGGGACAAGAUCGGGAGAGUAAAGAAGUUAAGAAAGCAUUGUUAUGGUACCUAUUACUUCUAAAGUAAGACCAUCUUGGUCAAAUAUUCAUUUAUCAGGAACGAGCGAUUGAGGCCGAAUGUAAAAGCCAUAGCAACGAAAAUCUUUAAAGACAUUACAAGAAAAGGCUUCCAGGAUUACUUUGGAAGUAAUAGGUCUACGAGUAUAGUGUGCAUGUUCGCUUGCAGAAGUGUGUAUUUGCAGAAAGCGAUUAUUUUGAAAGUGAUGUGACGUUAAGAGUUGCUGUGUUGUGUAAUAAAACCUGGACCAAAAAUUUCAUUCGUGCUUUACUCGACCUCGUAUAUUUGUUAUAGUUUCUUACAUAAAUAAACUUCAUUUAGUCUUUUAUUGUAUUCUUACAUAUCAUCAGAUUAUUUACUAUACUCGUGCUAUGUUUAAUAAAAGACGAAUCCAGGAGCAA